AGCUCUGAGGUGUUUUGGCACGUGAGAUUGCAAAUCUCCAGGAGCAGAUUAAUCGUCUGCCGGGGCUU
RNAcentral lists this transfer RNA (68 nucleotides) under Scomber japonicus (chub mackerel). RNAcentral's name for it is "tRNA-Cys". RNAcentral also lists the same sequence under 2 other names. Lineage: Eukaryota; Metazoa; Chordata; Actinopteri; Scombriformes; Scombridae. The record is from RNAcentral.